CCGACGGGUGAGUAACACGUAUGCAAUCCACCUGUAACAGGGGAGUAACCGGAGAAAUCCGGACUAAUACCCAUAAUAUGGGCGCUCCGCAUGGAGAGUUCAUUAAAGAGAGCAAUUUUGGUUACAGACGAGCAUGCGCUCCAUUAGCCAGUUGGCGGGGUAACGGCCCACCAAGGCGACGAUGGAUAGGGGUUCUGAGAGGAAGGUCCCCCACAUUGGAACUGAGACACGGUCCAA
This 237-nucleotide ribosomal RNA is filed under the name uncultured bacterium. Its description in RNAcentral is "partial 16S ribosomal RNA". It matches the Rfam family "Bacterial small subunit ribosomal RNA", at positions 102 to 334 of the family's 1533-position model. The record is from RNAcentral.